UCUGAUCCAGCCAUGCCGCGUGCAGGAAGACGGCCCUAUGGGUUGUAAACUGCUUUUGUAUGGGAGCAAUAAGAUCUACGUGUAGAUUGAUGAGAGUACCAUACGAAUAAGCACCGGCUAACUCCGUGCCAGCAGCCGCGGUAAUAACAAAAGC
RNAcentral lists this ribosomal RNA (154 nucleotides) under uncultured bacterium. Its description in RNAcentral is "partial 16S ribosomal RNA". It matches the Rfam family "Bacterial small subunit ribosomal RNA", at positions 382 to 532 of the family's 1533-position model. The record is from RNAcentral.